This 76-nucleotide transfer RNA is filed under the name Fasciola gigantica. It matches the Rfam family "tRNA". Rfam says of the family: Transfer RNA (tRNA) molecules are approximately 80 nucleotides in length. Their secondary structure includes four short double-helical elements and three loops (D, anti-codon, and T loops). Further hydrogen bonds mediate the characteristic L-shaped molecular structure. tRNAs have two regions of fundamental functional importance: the anti-codon, which is responsible for specific mRNA codon recognition, and the 3' end, to which the tRNAs corresponding amino acid is attached (by aminoacyl-tRNA synthetases). tRNAs cope with the degeneracy of the genetic code in two manners: having more than one tRNA (with a specific anti-codon) for a particular amino acid; and 'wobble' base-pairing, i.e. permitting non-standard base-pairing at the 3rd anti-codon position. The record is from Rfam by way of RNAcentral. Lineage: Eukaryota; Metazoa; Platyhelminthes; Trematoda; Plagiorchiida; Fasciolidae.
GCCGCGAUACGCCUCAGCUGGUAGAGCAUCUGCCGGUUACGCGGAGAUGUCGCCGGUUCGAUUCCGGUUCGCGGCG